RNAcentral lists this transfer RNA (72 nucleotides) under Neotoma lepida (desert woodrat). It matches the Rfam family "tRNA". Rfam says of the family: Transfer RNA (tRNA) molecules are approximately 80 nucleotides in length. The record is from Rfam by way of RNAcentral. Lineage: Eukaryota; Metazoa; Chordata; Mammalia; Rodentia; Cricetidae.
GGGCAUGUGGCUUAAUGGGUAAAGCACUUGGCUUGUGUGCCAAGUGUGGAGGAGCCCUGGCUCCCAUACCCA